AAAACGCUGAAGAAUUUCGCUUUGUGUGGCAAGAACAUCUGAAAGGGCUUGAUUGCCAUCAUUUCAAACUGAUGACCACAUUCAAGAAGACUAAGGUUGGAAUGAAAACUAGUGACCUUGAGGGAACAGCUGGGUAUCACAGAGGGACAUCACUGCUGGAGAUCAUUGCCCACAGACUUACAGUCUCUGAGACAAUCGAGAGAACAUAAAGGCCAGCAUAUAGCAUGCAAUGAUGCAACACGGCACCACAGAAUCUACAGGCCAAGAAGUACAAAGUGAUGUGCAUUGUGAAGCCACCACAAUGAUGCAUCAAGAUAUGGACGGACUAUUAGGGAUAUCCUGAUCACAUUGUGCUGAAAAAAAGAGGAACUACUAUCACUACGACAUUCUGUUCAAUGGAACGUCAACAUUACUGCUUCACCCUUGUAUGGCUGAAUCUAUCUGAUGAAAAGGGAAAAGGAAUGAUGUCUUCACGGGCAACAUCUUGCGCAAGGAAACAUUCCUCAUUUCUGCAAUCAAUACUUCCGCUGUUGUAUGGUCCAUCUGUGGCCUCACCUCCUCACGUGUGCUGCCCCCGUAGGUUGCUCUUUCAAGGAUACAACAUCCGGAUCGAUCAUACAUCCUAACUACUAUCAGAUUAUGCCAAGAUGGCUGAGC
This is a long non-coding RNA of Lolium perenne, 657 nucleotides long. RefSeq lists it as uncharacterized. NCBI's taxonomy places the organism in Eukaryota, Viridiplantae, Streptophyta, Magnoliopsida, Poales, Poaceae. The record is from RefSeq and is a predicted model, not a curated record.